Molecule: non-coding RNA, 21 nt
Filed under: Arabidopsis thaliana (thale cress)
Lineage: Eukaryota; Viridiplantae; Streptophyta; Magnoliopsida; Brassicales; Brassicaceae
Source: RNAcentral
UCAGAUUUCAGGUCAAAACAG